GAACGGGUGAGUAACACGUGAGCAACCUGCCCUGGACUCUGGGAUAAGCGCUGGAAACGGCGUCUAAUACUGGAUAUGAGAUGCGAUCGCAUGGUCGUGUUUGGAAAGAUUUUUCGGUCUGGGAUGGGCUCGCGGCCUAUCAGCUUGUUGGUGAGGUAAUGGCUCACCAAGGCGUCGACGGGUAGCCGGCCUGAGAGGGUGACCGGCCACACUGGGACUGAGACACGGCCCAGACUCCUACGGGAGGCAGCAGUGGGGAAUAUUGCACAAUGGGCGAAAGCCUGAUGCAGCAACGCCGCGUGAGGGAUGACGGCCUUCGGGUUGUAAACCUCUUUUGGUAGGGAAGAAGCCUUCGGGUGACGGUACCUGCAGAAAAAGCGCCGGCUAACUACGUGCCAGCAGCCGCGGUAAUACGUAGGGCGCAAGCGUUAUCCGGAAUUAUUGGGCGUAAAGAGCUCGUAGGCGGUCUGUCGCGUCUGCUGUGAAAUCCCGAGGCUCAACCUCGGGCUUGCAGUGGGUACGGGCAGACUAGAGUGCGGUAGGGGAGAUUGGAAUUCCUGGUGUAGCGGUGGAAUGCGCAGAUAUCAGGAGGAACACCGAUGGCGAAGGCAGAUCUCUGGGCCGUACUGACGCGA
RNAcentral lists this ribosomal RNA (635 nucleotides) under Microbacterium jejuense. RNAcentral describes it as "bacterial SSU rRNA". It matches the Rfam family "Bacterial small subunit ribosomal RNA", at positions 100 to 748 of the family's 1533-position model. The record is from RNAcentral. Lineage: Bacteria; Bacillati; Actinomycetota; Actinomycetes; Micrococcales; Microbacteriaceae.